This 701-nucleotide ribosomal RNA is filed under the name uncultured bacterium. RNAcentral describes it as "bacterial SSU rRNA". It matches the Rfam family "Bacterial small subunit ribosomal RNA", at positions 67 to 755 of the family's 1533-position model. The record is from RNAcentral.
CGGCAGCACAGUAAGAGCUUGCUCUUAUGGGUGGCGAGUGGCGGACGGGUGAGGAAUACAUCGGAAUCUACCUUUUCGUGGGGGAUAACGUAGGGAAACUUACGCUAAUACCGCAUACGACCUUCGGGUGAAAGCAGGGGACCUUCGGGCCUUGCGCGGAUAGAUGAGCCGAUGUCGGAUUAGCUAGUUGGCGGGGUAAAGGCCCACCAAGGCGACGAUCCGUAGCUGGUCUGAGAGGAUGAUCAGCCACACUGGAACUGAGACACGGUCCAGACUCCUACGGGAGGCAGCAGUGGGGAAUAUUGGACAAUGGGCGCAAGCCUGAUCCAGCCAUACCGCGUGGGUGAAGAAGGCCUUCGGGUUGUAAAGCCCUUUUGUUGGGAAAGAAAAGCAGUCGGCUAAUACCCGGUUGUUCUGACGGUACCCAAAGAAUAAGCACCGGCUAACUUCGUGCCAGCAGCCGCGGUAAUACGAAGGGUGCAAGCGUUACUCGGAAUUACUGGGCGUAAAGCGUGCGUAGGUGGUUGUUUAAGUCUGUUGUGAAAGCCCUGGGCUCAACCUGGGAAUUGCAGUGGAUACUGGGCGACUAGAGUGUGGUAGAGGGUAGUGGAAUUCCCGGUGUAGCAGUGAAAUGCGUAGAGAUCGGGAGGAACAUCCAUGGCGAAGGCAGCUACCUGGACCAACACUGACACUGAGGCACG